Molecule: long non-coding RNA, 1192 nt
Organism: Bufo gargarizans (Asiatic toad)
Lineage: Eukaryota; Metazoa; Chordata; Amphibia; Anura; Bufonidae
Exons: 2
Source: RefSeq, a predicted model, not a curated record
UGUGUUCAACUUUGGCCUACUAGUGUCCCUCCUGUUUUGAUUGGCAGGGCUCCUGCAUGUUUGGUAGAGUCACAUGGCUUUAGUAUGGGAAGGCCUCCGUGGACUUGGAGCACCUUGGUUUCGUAUCAAAGUCAUUUUUGUUUUUCCACAAAACCCGCUGACCUCUGCACAGCCCUCACUUUAACCCCUUCAGGACCGCAGGAGCCUUGUUUAACCACAGGAACAGCCUGGAACAGUGCUCGCUAUGUAAAAUCCGGGCAGCAGAACAACGAGCCCAAACAUACAGCCAAUGUCUUGAAGGACUAUCUUCAGCAUAAAGAAGAACAAGGAGACCUAGAAGUGAUGAUAUGGCCCGACAGAGGCCUGAUCUCAACAUUAACCAGUCUGUCUGGGAUUACAUAAAGAGGCAGAAGGAUCUGAGCAAGCCUACAUCCACCGAAGAUAUGUGAUUAGUUCUCCAAGAUGUCCCAAACAACUCCCCCUGCCGAGAUCCUCCAAAACCUAUGUGCCAGUGUUCCUAGAAGAACUAAUGCUGUUCUGAAGGCAAAGGGUGGUCACUUCAAAUACGGAUGGGAUUUAGAUUUCUCUUUUGUACAUUCACUUUGCAUUUUGUUAAUUGGUAAAAAAAUUAACACUUCUUUGACAGCUUUCUUACUUUUCUCUGACAAAAUGUCCACCGUGGUCUAUUAGGGUUUGGGAACACAUGCUUGGCUAUAUCAGCAUUAAAAGGUGUUGUCCCACAAGUAAUAUUCUACAUUUUUCAAACCAGCACCUGGAUAUGAAUACUUUUGUAAUUGCAUGUAAUUAAACAUUUAUUAUAGCUACUGCGUUAUUCACUCAAAUCCAUCUGUACAGCGCCACCUGCUGUUUGCUCGUUUUCUAAUUUCUCUGUCCACCUCACCCAGGUGGAUGCACAUGCUCAGUUCGAUUCGUCAACUGACACUAGCUGCAGCAUACAGGACACACCUCUGAGAAAGGACCUAGCCGUUCAGCUGGCAACUUGAAAAAAAUCGAGCAGAGCAAUUUGAACAAUGAGUAGGGAGAGCUCUGUUCCACUUGUGGUACAGGGCUGGUUUUAGCUAUUUUAGAAAGAGGUUGCCUUGUACUAUACGAUGUCUGAUUGUCAAGUUCUACAAUAAUCAUGGGAUAAUCCCUUUAAUAAAAAUAAAAUAAAAAAUUUGACCUAAAAUAU